GAUAAUAUAACUCAAUUGGCAGAGUGUGGAGCGUACGCAAUUCUUAAAAACCAGGACACGAGAGUUACAGGUUCGAAUCCUGUUAUUAUCUA
Molecule: transfer RNA, 92 nt
Filed under: Caudoviricetes sp.
Lineage: Duplodnaviria; Heunggongvirae; Uroviricota; Caudoviricetes
Description: tRNA-OTHER
Rfam family: tRNA
About the family: Transfer RNA (tRNA) molecules are approximately 80 nucleotides in length.
Source: RNAcentral